AUUGAACGCUGGCGGCGUGCUUAACACAUGCAAGUCGAGCGGCAGCGCGGGAGCAAUCCUGGCGGCGAGCGGCGAACGGGUGAGUAAUGCUUCGGAAUCUGCCCUUCAGUGGGGAAUAACCAGUCGAAAGACUGGCUAAUACCGCAUACGAACUGAGGUUGAAAGCAGGGGAUCGCAAGACCUUGCGCUGAUGGAUGAGCCGAAGUCGGAUUAGCUUGUUGGUGGGGUAAUGGCCUACCAAGGCGACGAUCCGUAGCUGGUCUGAGAGGAUGAUCCGCCACACUGGGACUGAGACACGGCCCAGACUCCUACGGGAGGCAGCAGUGGGGAAUUUUGGACAAUGGGGGCAACCCUGAUCCAGCCAUGCCGCGUGAGUGAAGAAGGCCU
Molecule: ribosomal RNA, 387 nt
Filed under: uncultured bacterium
Lineage: Bacteria
Description: bacterial SSU rRNA
Rfam family: Bacterial small subunit ribosomal RNA
Source: RNAcentral